Molecule: long non-coding RNA, 2567 nt
Filed under: Homo sapiens (human)
Lineage: Eukaryota; Metazoa; Chordata; Mammalia; Primates; Hominidae
Description: HSALNT0322608
Source: RNAcentral
ACAGUUCCUCAGUCUUUCUUUGUGUUUUAUGACCUUGACGAUUUUCAUGAGUACUGGCCAGGUAUUCUGGAUGCCCUUGCACCAAUGAGCCCAGCUGAUUCCCAGACUUUGGUUUCUAAAUACCACUCUCCAAUAUAAGAAAACUAUGGCUCCUUGGAGAAACAGCUGAAUCCAGGGCUGAAGGAGAAAAAAUAAGAUGAGCCUGAAAUAUUUUGUGCUAGAAAAUACCAAAGAGUUAAAAAGAAAGAAAGAAAGAAUAGGCACAUUUCAAAAAGACAAAGUAGCCAACUUGAUUGGUGAUCCUAAAGGUCAAAUACAGAAACACUGAAUAACAAAAUAAAUCUUGAUCAUAAGGGAUUAUAACCUGUGGAAUAACGUAAGGGUUCAUGUGUCUGUACUAACACAAAUAAGUGAGUGAACAAAUGAAUGAAUGAAUAAGUAAAGGAGAAAAGAAAACUUUUCCUUACUAUAAAACUACAACUUGUUUCUAAGUUAAGGAAUUAUUGAACCAGAAAAUUACCAUUUGGCAAACACCACAGUAAUAGUUGUUUCAGGCAAGAAUCAUUAACGGAUACUAAAAUUAGUGGCAAAGGUGUGAUAAAUUACAGGAUAUUUAAAUUCUCUCAAAUUAUUUUCCCAUGAGAUACUUAUAGAGUACAAAGAAAUAUAGUGCCUUUGUAGUGAAGAAAUCUGGCAAACACCACCCUCCCCAAGUGAUCAAAGUUAACAUUUUCAGUAAUGGAAUAAAUUGACAUCAAGAGUCUUCGGAUAAGACAUGUUGAUAAGGUCACAACCUCACUUUCUGGUAUCCUUGCCAAAAAUGCAAAACUGAAUUUAAAUAUGAGAAAACAUCAGAGGAAGUGCAUUGACUGUCAGAGCCUCAUCGACCUAGUAUAAGAGACACACCAACGUACGUACACUCAUAUGUGUUAGAGGCACUUUCAGUUUGGCAUUCAUUCAGUUCACAAAGAGAUCCAUUUAAAGACUUUACAACGUACGUACACUCAUAUGUGUUAGAGGCACUUUCAGUUUGGCCUUCAUUCAGUUCACAAAGAGAUCCAUUUAAAGACUUUACAGAAGAAAAAUGACAGGAUGAAAACUGUGCCUCGAGGAGAUUAAACUGGAAGCAGAAGGUAUCAACCCAGGCCAUGGAGCUGAAUGGAGAAGAAAUGCCUUCCAUCCCUUCCAACCAUUUGGCUUCUCCAGUCCCUCACCUCAAGCAAACCUCAUCAAGGUUUUCCGAUUUCCAGACCCAGGUCCUGAGCAACUAUGUAAAUGCAAACAAACACUGGUGAUGACUGUAAGGCCAUCAAACUCCAAACAGUCAUGCAACCAGAGCCUCUGAAGAUGGCCCCUUCUGCCGGGAACCCUUAGAUCAGCCUCUGAGGGAGUUCUGCCAUUUCCCCAAAACAGCGCCCCCUGUCAGCAGGAAGCGGUUAAGAUCAGUCUUCAUCCUUAUCCUUAAUCUAACCACAGUUAGAUGUACUUCUUUAGAGGGGGGAAUGAGACAGCCAGUGGGAGGGGAUUCCUGGAGAAACUCCAAGCAGCCUGCGCACUGGGGUGGAGCCUUGGGAAGUUCACACGAUUUGAAGCAGGGAGGAGCCUGCCUCGUCGUCUUCCUGUGUGGACCUGGGAUUCAAACGCCAGGCAGGUGUUUCCCCCACCCGUUUUUCUCCCUUUUCACCCAAUAAAACCCUAUUUUGCUCACCCUUUAAACUGUCUGUGAGGCUAAAUUUUUGUGGCCUUGGGAUGGACAAGAACCCAGUCUUUAGCUGAACUAAGAAAAGUCCUACAAUACCAGGGAGGUUUACAUUUAUCAAUAAGAACAUAAAAACAUAUGGGCAGUAAUAAAAUAAAUUUCAACAUGCCAACUAUAACCACCGAUUGUUUGUAUUCUGCAGGAGAAGAGCACAAGAAGAAAUGAGCUUAAUUACAGCAUAAACAAUUUUAGUCAUAUAUUAAAUAGGUUCCUGAUACUAAGCUCUUAAAAUGGAUAUAAACAAGAUGUGGUAGAAUUUGAAAAAUAGGUUACAAUCACAGUAGUAGGUAAUGUUUGAGAGUUUCUCCACCUGCAAUAUUGUAUCUUUUAUAAUAGUUAAACACUGUGGACUUCUAAAUUUAGCAAUUUUUUCAGAGUUUAAAUAAACCCUUUUUAAAAAUACAACGGGAUCUUUCUUUCAUGCUUUGUUAGAUCUUAAGGAUGACUAUUUAAAACAGAAAUCUUUCAACCUCAUUCAGAUAUAGUGCACUACAGCUACUAACUAGGAAACAAUGAGAAAAGACUUUUCUUCACUUUAAGUUACAGAUACUGCAAGUCUUUCCUUCAAAACAGGAGACAGUCCAUCUGAAGCUAGUAGUAGAUGCAUAUGGAGCUCAGGAGACGUUACCUUAAGUUGAAGUCUUCCACAUGAUCUGAUGGGGACUGAGGUGAACAGGACCCUAAAGCAUAAUUGGUCAGAAGAGUGGGAGAGGUUGGCCGGGCACGGUGGCUCACGCCUGUAAUCCCAGCACGUUGGGAGGCCAAGGCAGGCAGAUCAUGAGGUCAGGAGAUGGAGACCAUCCUUGCU